AUUGAACGCUGGCGGCAUGCUUUACACAUGCAAGUCGAACGGCAGCGCGGGCUUCGGCCUGGCGGCGAGUGGCGAACGGGUGAGUAAUGCAUCGGAACGUGCCCAGUAGUGGGGGAUAGCCCGGCGAAAGCCGGAUUAAUACCGCAUACGACCUGAGGGUGAAAGCGGGGGACCGAAAGGCCUCGCGCUCUUGGAGCGUCCGAUGUCGGAUUAGCUAGUUGGUGGGGUAAAGGCUUACCAAGGCGACGAUCCGUAGCUGGUCUGAGAGGACGGCCAGCCACACUGGGACUGAGACACGGCCCAGACUCCUACGGGAGGCAGCAGUGGGGAAUUUUGGACAAUGGGGGCAACCCUGAUCCAGCCAUGCCGCGUGCGGGAAGAAGGCCUUCGGGUUGUAAACCGCUUUUGUUCGGGAAGAAAUCCUCUGGGCUAAUACCCCGGGGGGAUGACGGUACCGGAAGAAUAAGCACCGGCUAACUACGUG
RNAcentral lists this ribosomal RNA (484 nucleotides) under uncultured bacterium. Its description in RNAcentral is "partial 16S ribosomal RNA". It matches the Rfam family "Bacterial small subunit ribosomal RNA", at positions 28 to 507 of the family's 1533-position model. The record is from RNAcentral.